This 449-nucleotide ribosomal RNA is filed under the name uncultured bacterium. Its description in RNAcentral is "partial 16S ribosomal RNA". It matches the Rfam family "Bacterial small subunit ribosomal RNA", at positions 354 to 796 of the family's 1533-position model. The record is from RNAcentral.
GUGGGGAAUUUUGGACAAUGGGCGCAAGCCUGAUCCAGCAAUGCCGCGUGCAGGAAGAAGGCCUUCGGGUUGUAAACUGCUUUUGUACGGAACGAAACGGUCCUGGUUAAUACCUGGGGCUAAUGACGGUACCGUAAGAAUAAGCACCGGCUAACUACGUGCCAGCAGCCGCGGUAAUACGUAGGGUGCAAGCGUUAAUCGGAAUUACUGGGCGUAAAGCGUGCGCAGGCGGUUUGGUAAGACAGGCGUGAAAUCCCCGGGCUCAACCUGGGAAUUGCGCUUGUGACUGCAAGGCUGGAGUGCGGCAGAGGGGGAUGGAAUUCCGCGUGUAGCAGUGAAAUGCGUAGAUAUGCGGAGGAACACCGAUGGCGAAGGCAAUCCCCUGGGCCUGCACUGACGCUCAUGCACGAAAGCGUGGGGAGCAAACAGGAUUAGAAACCCCGGUGUCC